RNAcentral lists this non-coding RNA (25 nucleotides) under Mus musculus (house mouse). Lineage: Eukaryota; Metazoa; Chordata; Mammalia; Rodentia; Muridae. The record is from RNAcentral.
UAUCCUCGUGCCGACUGACCUCAUC